UACAGAGGGUGCGAGCGUUAAUCGGAAUUACUGGGCGUAAAGCGCACGUAGGCGGCUUGGCAUGUCGGGUGUGAAAUCCCCGGGCUCAACCUGGGAACUGCAUCCGAAACUGCCUUGCUAGAGUAUGGGAGAGGGAAGUGGAAUUUCCGGUGUAGCGGUGAAAUGCGUAGAUAUCGGAAGGAACAUCAGUGGCGAAGGCGACUUCCUGGACCAAUACUGACGCUCAGGUGCGACAGCGUGGGGUGCAAUCAGG
RNAcentral lists this ribosomal RNA (253 nucleotides) under uncultured bacterium. Its description in RNAcentral is "partial 16S ribosomal RNA". It matches the Rfam family "Bacterial small subunit ribosomal RNA", at positions 524 to 776 of the family's 1533-position model. The record is from RNAcentral.